This is a non-coding RNA of Mycena olivaceomarginata, 96 nucleotides long. Lineage: Eukaryota; Fungi; Basidiomycota; Agaricomycetes; Agaricales; Mycenaceae. The record is from the annotation of a GenBank genome assembly.
GCACCCUUGGUGUAUGGAAACACACAUCUUUGAAUUGAUAUAUUCUUGUAUCUGGUUAAUCAAGAUGAGUCCGGGGUUCGAAUCCUCGAGGGUGCA